Molecule: ribosomal RNA, 479 nt
Filed under: Spalangia endius
Lineage: Eukaryota; Metazoa; Arthropoda; Insecta; Hymenoptera; Spalangiidae
Description: eukaryotic LSU rRNA
Source: RNAcentral
UUCAUCGCCAGUGACGUUGGCUCUCGCUCGGAAUUGCAGGAUCUGGCUUCGGUUAGUGUUCUGCGUCUGUAGCGUUGUGUCCGGCGUCGUCGGCGUGCACUUCUCCCCUAGUAGGACGUCGCGACCCGUUGGGUGCCGGCCUACGGCCUAGUAGGUUGACUGAUGCGUCGCGUUCGCGCGUUCCCGCGUCAGACACCGCUGGAUGCCCGGCCGGCUGCCCGGCGGUAUAGAAUGCUUUAACACGGUAAUGAGCCGCACUCUAAGUGCGUCCGGCUCGUCGGCAGGCUCGCAUCGUGCGGAUUUACGGACCUGGUGCCGUUGCCGUUACGCUGUGUGGCUGUUAGUCGACGAUGUCCUCGGACUGGCUCGACACAUUCGAAAGGAUAUACCGGUCAGCGACGCUACUGCUUUGGGUACUUUCAGGACCCGUCUUGAAACACGGACCAAGGAGUCUAACAUGUGCGCGAGUCAUUGGGACA